AGCUCCAAUAGCGUAUAUUAAAGUUGUUGCAGUUAAAAAGCUCGUAGUUGAACCUUGGGCCUGGCUGGCCGGUCCGCCUCACCGCGUGCACUGGUCCGGCCGGGCCUUUCCUUCUGGGGAUCCGCAUGCCCUUCACUGGGUGUGCCGGGGAACCAGGACUUUUACUUUGAAAAAAUUAGAGUGUUCAAAGCAGGCCUUUGCUCGAAUACAUUAGCAUGGAAUAAUAGAAUAGGACGUGCGUCCCUAUUUUGUUGGUUUCUAGGGACGCCGUAAUGAUUAAUAGGGAUAGUCGGGGGCAUCAGUAUUCAAUUGUCAGAGGUGAAAUUCUUGGAUUUAUUGAAGACUAACUACUGCGAAAGCAUUUGCCAAGGAUGUUUUCA
RNAcentral lists this ribosomal RNA (380 nucleotides) under uncultured eukaryote. RNAcentral's name for it is "SSU rRNA". It matches the Rfam family "Eukaryotic small subunit ribosomal RNA", at positions 587 to 972 of the family's 1831-position model. The record is from RNAcentral.